AUGACGCCGUGGGGUGCGGACGCCGGCGGCCGUUGCAGACGACAGCGGGCUCCUGGGCGCCAGAUCCGAGGUGGCGGGGUCGCGGGCGCCACAUCCGGAGCGGGCCGCGGCCGGCAAGCAAGCGGCUCGAGUGGUGCUGCUCAGGGCAAGGCACGCAUCACCAAAGCCCUGGACGAGAGGAGGAGGUUGACGUUCGGGGAAGAGCGGCUCGUCAGGCGCCGGCUACCGACGGGGAUGGCCGUGGUGGCCGACCAUGCGGUGGAGGCAGCAUGGGUCCAGCCUGAGUGUGGCCACCGGCGGCGUCUUCUGUGUGGCUGA
RNAcentral lists this ribosomal RNA (318 nucleotides) under Triticum aestivum (bread wheat). Its description in RNAcentral is "partial small subunit ribosomal RNA". Lineage: Eukaryota; Viridiplantae; Streptophyta; Magnoliopsida; Poales; Poaceae. The record is from RNAcentral.